UGGGUGGUAGUGCAGCGGGUUAAGCACACGUGGCUGCAAACCACAAGGACCAGUGGAAGGAUCCGGGUUCAAGCCCCCGGCUUCCCA
This 87-nucleotide transfer RNA is filed under the name Erinaceus europaeus (western European hedgehog). It matches the Rfam family "tRNA". From Rfam's summary of the family: Transfer RNA (tRNA) molecules are approximately 80 nucleotides in length. Their secondary structure includes four short double-helical elements and three loops (D, anti-codon, and T loops). Lineage: Eukaryota; Metazoa; Chordata; Mammalia; Eulipotyphla; Erinaceidae. The record is from Rfam by way of RNAcentral.